UGGCGUUGUUCUGUUUUCUCAAUGAAUAGCAGUCGCUUGUUGGAUGGGAAUUGCUACUGUAAGUCAUCUCAGCGAGCAGUAUUGACCCCCUAAAGAAAGGAGUAUCGACACAAUACACAAAAUUAUUAGGCUGCAGAUAGUAUGGGGUACAUUAGUACAUGGACAUAAAAAAGUAAAGGAUAUUCAUGAUAGUGUUUGCUUGUCUUUGUCAGGUUUUUUAAUUUUCUUUUUGAGUGGCUUCACACACAUGUGCAUUUCCGCCGUAUUGUAUCGCCACAGAGACAAUACUUGCAGGGGUUGUGAAAAAUAACUUGAAGCAUGCCCAUUAGUUAGUAGAGCAUAUAUUUGCGUUGCAGCGAUGACUUUAUUAGUGUGUGUGUGUUCACUUCUAGGUCACUGCAUCAUGUCAAAAAAACUGGCAGUGCUACAAUUUCUCAAAAGAAAAGGAAGUUCAUGUGAAGAACCAUGGCGACACAUGUGAGAAAAAUAUAUUUGAGUCAAUAUAUAUACACAUAUAAAUGGAUUGAACUAUUUGUUCUUUUCUGUGAGGGAAAGACAGUUAAUUAGUUGUUAGUUUGAAAAACUGUAAAAAAGAUAGUCUGCAGUAAAUGUGUAUAAAAAAUAUAGGUCAGUGAUAUACUGUGAUAAUUCCUCCUUGUUUUUUGUCUGCAACAGUUGAUUAAAUUUUUUGAGGGGGGUUCAAAAAAACACUUCAUGAGCUUCUUUUUGAAUGGCUGAAUAGAUUAGUUAUGUUUUAAUCCGAAGUCCGGCAAGUGUGCUUCACGUGUUAGAUUUUCCUGCGAUUCAAAAUCCUGCCCACCUAUUCUGAACCCAAAUCUUUAUUAUCACUCGUCAAGCCUAUGAAGGCCCAGUGGCUUUGAUGCACGCCCAUUACUCAAUAAGUAAUAGUUCCAGUAAGCUCACAGUACUACUUCCACAACCGCGAAUGGUAAAUUUUAAAAGUGCAAAUGAAAGCAUAGAAAUUAACACAGAUUGCUAUUUUAGGUCUUCAAUGAUUUCCGAAUAGAUUGAAAGUCCAAGCCUUGAUGAAUUGACAGACCACACAUGUUUUGUGAAGUAUUUUAAACGAAAUUGCAAUUGAAAUCUAGAUGCAGCUACUGUAGAUAUAUUUGUUGCUAUUAGUACACAUUUUUCCCCUAUCCAAGGUCUUCUACUAUUUCAAUACCCAUCAUAUGUGAAAAUCUGUGGCGAUAAAAGAAACACAUCUACAGUCUGUAAUUUGUUCCUGAAAGUGAAACUUAACAAUGUCAGUGAGUGGUGAAAUGUACACUCUUGUUUGAUCUAAUUUCUGGAUUCCCUUUCCUUGUACUUCUAAGAAAAUAAUUAAGUCUUGCAUUAGGUAUAGAACACAAAGACAACAUUAGUUGCAUCUUUUAUUGAGGAAGAAACUCAUUCGAUCUAUCUAGGUUGAACAAGUUUAUGUCUAAACUGUCAUAUUUAUUCACAGAUUUUGUCUACUUGCUUCAAAACAGAAAUGUGGCUUUUGCUUGCUGGUAAUUUGGGUUAUGGUGUGGCUGCCUAUUACUCAAGAUGAACUCAUAUCAUAUCAUCAAUUUCAGGAACAUUAUCUCAGCUGUUGUUGAUUUCAGAACAGAUCAUUGGCAUUGUACCUUCAAGGGACUAUCCUUUUGCCUACUGAGCACACAAAACAAAUGUGUCUAUAUAUUUAUUUAAGUGAAACAACAUGCUUCCAUUUUUGGUCAAUCGGUGGAUCUGACUAAUACAUAACUACAUAUAUAUGUGUGAGGUAUUAUUCAUGUGUCAUUUUUCGUAAUUCAAGUAAGCUGAAACUGAUGGUCUCAGAUGGUUUGUGUAUUAACUUUGAUCAGAACCUGCAUCUACAAAUACUGAGUAGAGGGUUGCCUUUUGUGCAGGAAUUUGCAGCAGGAUCCCUUGCCUGUGCUCUCCGCUUGUCCUCACUCCUUAGACCUUCCCUUUGCUUAUCACCAUACAUUUUAUUCAGAGUGGUGUCAAGAUGCAUCUCCUCUGCCAAGAUGAUGGGCAGAGGGCCUAAGCUCUAGGUGAGCUCCACCAAACAUGUGUUAUAUAUUGUACGAUGUUUUCAUUGUUAAUGUCUGCAAUCUAAUGCUUUGCUCUGCUAUUUUAAUUUUGUGUAACAUGCAUACUCUCAUGGAUCUGUACGCAUGUGUUUGCAAGAACUUGUACGCAUGAGUUUGUAAGAAGUUGAAUGCUGGUAUGAUGCUUUAUUUUCUACAAAGUUGGGCUAUAUGCUCACGGCUGCUUCCUGAUAAUUGUGCAUGUAACUUGGUUUCUUCACUUCAUUUAAAUGAUUAGUAUGUUUUGGGCUUUGACCUAUGCAUAUAACAACACUACCAUGCCAGUUUGUACAUCUUCUGUUUUUGGUUCUUUGGACUCAAGAGUAACUCAGAAGUUUGAACAAAUGUACUAUGAUAAUAUUGCUCAAACAUAUGGUGCUUUUGCAGGGUCAAAUGGCGGGAAGUAUCAAGUCAAAGAUAUUAUGGCUUUUGUACAUCUUCUAUUUUCUUUAAAUGGAAGUUGGUGUUGGUUUGGUGAUCGAAGACUUGGGCUCUUCCAUAGUGUUUUGUAGAGUGAUCGAACACUUAAGUCUCUUAUGAACUAGGACCAUAAUUUGUAACAUGCCACAACUUGUAUGUUGAGUUGAGUAUUUGUUUCAAUGGUUGUAACAAGGAAAACUGAUCUUCUAUAUAUGUUGAAUAAAUGCUUUGGUCAAUGGCAUUUUGUGAUGAAUAGAAGAGUGUAAUUGUUGGUAUAUCUACUGCAAAGUGAACAUGAAUUGAAUAUUUUGAAUAUAUUUUCAUGUUAAUAUAUGUUGCAUUUGCAUUUGUGCUGAAAUGUAUAGCCCUGGCAGCAAAUGUGUCGGCAAAACUAUUGGAGGUCGCAAAGACUGUUGGCAUAGCAUACUUACAGAGAAACUGUCGGGGUAGCAACGGCCGUUGCACUAUCUGUCGGUAUAGCAC
This 2981-nucleotide long non-coding RNA is filed under the name Triticum aestivum (bread wheat). RNAcentral's name for it is "long non-coding RNA (TAES_LNC016853)". Lineage: Eukaryota; Viridiplantae; Streptophyta; Magnoliopsida; Poales; Poaceae. The record is from RNAcentral.